UACGUAGGGUGCAAGCGUUGUCCGGAAUUAUUGGGCGUAAAGAGCUCGUAGGCGGUUUGUCGCGUCGGCUGUGAAAACCUGGGGCUCAACCCCGGGCCUGCAGCCGAUACGGGCAAACUAGAAUUCGGUAGGGGAGACUGGAAUUCCUGGUGUAGCGGUGAAAUGCGCAGAUAUCAGGAGGAACACCGGUGGCGAAGGCGGGUCUCUGGGCCGAUAUUGACGCUGAGGAGCGAAAGUGUGGGGAGCGAAUAGG
This 253-nucleotide ribosomal RNA is filed under the name uncultured bacterium. RNAcentral's name for it is "partial 16S ribosomal RNA". It matches the Rfam family "Bacterial small subunit ribosomal RNA", at positions 524 to 776 of the family's 1533-position model. The record is from RNAcentral.